Long non-coding RNA from Daphnia magna, 285 nucleotides. RefSeq lists it as uncharacterized. The record is from RefSeq and is a predicted model, not a curated record. The transcript is spliced from 3 exons. Lineage: Eukaryota; Metazoa; Arthropoda; Branchiopoda; Diplostraca; Daphniidae.
CAGCUCUUAAUCUGGUACACUAUUGGUGUCGUUUAUUGUGUGUGUCCACUUGAUUCUGCUCUGCAUUCAGUGUGUUAAUUAAUGCGUGAUCUCUAUUGAGUCACCCCUGGUAUUUCUGGUCAUAGCCCACUCCUAAUUGUGGACCCUGGGCACCAGUUGAAAAGUGUAAUAAAGUUGUAUUACUCGUUGGCCCUAGCAUUGUACUUCUUGGUUUAAUUGGUGAUCGUAGCAGGACCUGCUGCGAGAAGAAAGACAAUGGCAAAGGGCAGGAGAAGGCUGCUCAAG